CAGUAGCCGCGGUAAUACGGAGGGUGCAAGCGUUAAUCGGAAUUACUGGGCGUAAAGCGCACGCAGGCGGUCUGUCAAGUCAGAUGUGAAAUCCCCGGGCUUAACUUGGGAACUGCAUUUGAAACUGGCAGGCUAGAGUCUUGUAGAGGGGGGUAGAAUUCCAGGUGUAGCGGUGAAAUGCGUAGAGAUCUGGAGGAAUACCGGUGGCGAAGGCGGCCCCCUGGACAAAGACUGACGCUCAGGUGCGAAAGCGUGGGGAGCAAACAGGAUUAGAGACCCGCGUAGUCCCUGUCUCUUAUAC
RNAcentral lists this ribosomal RNA (301 nucleotides) under uncultured bacterium. RNAcentral describes it as "partial 16S ribosomal RNA". It matches the Rfam family "Bacterial small subunit ribosomal RNA", at positions 509 to 807 of the family's 1533-position model. The record is from RNAcentral.